This 74-nucleotide transfer RNA is filed under the name uncultured cyanobacterium. Its description in RNAcentral is "tRNA-Ile". It matches the Rfam family "tRNA". From Rfam's summary of the family: Transfer RNA (tRNA) molecules are approximately 80 nucleotides in length. Their secondary structure includes four short double-helical elements and three loops (D, anti-codon, and T loops). Further hydrogen bonds mediate the characteristic L-shaped molecular structure. tRNAs have two regions of fundamental functional importance: the anti-codon, which is responsible for specific mRNA codon recognition, and the 3' end, to which the tRNAs corresponding amino acid is attached (by aminoacyl-tRNA synthetases). tRNAs cope with the degeneracy of the genetic code in two manners: having more than one tRNA (with a specific anti-codon) for a particular amino acid; and 'wobble' base-pairing, i.e. permitting non-standard base-pairing at the 3rd anti-codon position. Lineage: Bacteria; Bacillati; Cyanobacteriota. The record is from RNAcentral.
GGGCCUUUACCUCAGGGGGUUAAAGCGCACCCCUGAUAAGGGUGAGGUCCCGGGUUCAAGUCCAGGAGGGCCCA